RNAcentral lists this microRNA precursor (97 nucleotides) under Marmota monax (woodchuck). Lineage: Eukaryota; Metazoa; Chordata; Mammalia; Rodentia; Sciuridae. The record is from RNAcentral.
AGUGAGAUAACUGGGUCAAAUGGUGGUCCAAGUUUUCUGAGGAAUCUUCAUACUGCUUUCCAGAGUGGUUGCACCAAUUUGCAGUCCCACCAGCAAU